CAGUAUGAUGAAAAACAGGAGAGGCAGCCCCAGAUUGACCAGAGAAUGAUGAAGUUAAUGGUCGCCCAGUGCCAUCAGGAA
This 81-nucleotide small nucleolar RNA is filed under the name Olea europaea subsp. europaea. The record is from RNAcentral. Lineage: Eukaryota; Viridiplantae; Streptophyta; Magnoliopsida; Lamiales; Oleaceae.